UGCAUCUGAAGGUUAUAAGGAUGAGAGCCUCCGGGGAAGGAGGUUCGACUCGAGCAAAGCGAGAGAACGUUGCUUCAGCAACGGCCCGCAGGCGAGUCACGAAGUGACGAGUAGUCCUCUCUCGUCGACCA
Molecule: small RNA, 131 nt
Filed under: Leclercia adecarboxylata
Lineage: Bacteria; Pseudomonadati; Pseudomonadota; Gammaproteobacteria; Enterobacterales; Enterobacteriaceae
Description: RtT sRNA
Rfam family: RtT RNA
About the family: This family represents a bacterial cis-regulatory element known as RtT RNA. The exact function of RtT is unknown although it is thought that it may be involved in changing the cellular response in relation to amino acid starvation.
Source: RNAcentral